This 3489-nucleotide ribosomal RNA is filed under the name Triticum aestivum (bread wheat). RNAcentral's name for it is "partial small subunit ribosomal RNA". Lineage: Eukaryota; Viridiplantae; Streptophyta; Magnoliopsida; Poales; Poaceae. The record is from RNAcentral.
AUGCAAAAAGCCAAGGACAGCCGUGGAUGGGUUGCAAGAAGGCUUCCACCAGUCACUCCAUCAACAUCAAUCAUCCGUGCUGCAAAAGCAGUUGCGACGGGAAGACCAGGGCAAGAAGACAGAAACUUUGGCCACUCUAGCAGGUUCAAAAGUACAAGAUAUGAGCCAUAUAGACAGGACCAACAUAACAAUGAAUCUGAGGAGAGUCAGCCGUACAACGAGAGACGGAGAUCUUCGUCAUCGUUGCUCCCUCCAAGAGAUGCAUUGCUGCAUGUGCCAAGGGUGACACCACCGGCCCCCAUAAACCUGGGAGAACAACAAACACCAGAGGCAGCGCAAAGCUAUACACAUCCACCAAACAUUGAAGCUUAUGUUCUGCCAAGGCUAGAGAUGAGGUUUGAAACGUUCGAAGAAAGUAAGAACUUCUACAACGUAUAUGCAAAGCAUGCUAGUUUUGCUGUCAGGGAAGGCCCCAAGUUUAAGACAAGAGCCUACCUUUAUUGCACGUGCCAUGGAGUUUAUGAAUCAAAGGUGUCUAAAGCAAAUAGACAGCAUAACAAGACGACAGCCAGAACUAACUGCGGGGCUAAAAUGAGGCUGAAGAAGGAAAAGGAUGGAACAUUUGUCGUAAAAGAGAUAGUCUGGGAACACAACCACAGGCUACAGCUCACCGCAGAAAUGCUUGUCUUCUUGCACUCCCACAAAAACUUUGACAAAACAAUCUUGGAGUACAUCAAGAAAGCAAAGAAUUCAAGGAUGGAUGAUGUGGACGAUGUCCUAAAGAUUGUCAACUUCUUUAAGGAGAUGAAAGCUAUAAACAAAGAAUUCUUCUGUGACAUGCAGCUCGAUGAGUCUGAUAGAAAGUACAGGAAACACCUCGCGUACCUGUAUUUCUUGCACAACGACUUUAAGGAUGAAUUCACAUCAAUUCUCAACUGGCCCCUCAUGCCAACUGAGUUUGAGGAUGCCUGGAAAAGACUGAUGGAUAAGUACAACCUCCACGAUGAUGCCACAAUGGUGGGCAUGUGGAAUGAGCGUGAGAAAUGGAUAUCAGCCUACUUCAAAGAAAUUUUGUGCGCCAAAAUGACAUCGACACAGCGAAGUGAGAGCAUGAACUAUGUGCUCAAGAAGAACUACGUAAAUGAGAGAUAUAACCUACACCGGUUUGUCAGCCAGGUAAACUCCUGCGUCAAAACCAGGAGGCAGACAGAGAACCAGGAGACAAUGGGUAACCGGAAGGAACAAAACACGCUGACCUUCUAUGGGUUUGACACCCAGAUGGCAAAGCUGUACACACAAGCUGUGUACAACGAGAUCAGAGAUAGGCUAAAGCUGAGCACUCUCUUCACGGUGACAGAGACGGAAGAACCCACAAAGUACCUAGUGCGCUACAACCACCCGCAAAAACUCUCUGUGUGGGCUCAACACGCGUUCCAGGUGGUUGCAGACCCCAUGGGAGAAACAUAUGAGUGCGAGUGCAGGCUAUGGGACCACACAGGUGAACGACAUGACAAUAGCACAUCCUACCAGCAGCAGCAGGAAAAGGUGAUUAAACCCCCAAUAUUCUCAAACACAACGGGAAGGAAGAGCAAGACGCAAGCAGCGAAAGCUGCUAAAGCAGCAGCCAAAAAGCCACCAUGCCCCAUCAAGCGCGUGGAAUUUGGCCCAGACGGCAAACCCCUCGGGGAAAGGGCAUGCGGAUUCUGCAAUGUCGUGAGCAACCAUAACUACCGCGCAUGCCCACUCCGCACAGACGCCACUGUCAACAAGAACAAGCAGAUUGGAGCCGCCCAGCUUUCUACCAAUGGAGACAACACACGUAACAGCUACACUUGCCGCAAGUGUGGUGGAACUGACGGGCAUAAUGCCCGCACGUGCAAAGUGGGCAAGGAGGUCAGUGGAGCUGAACAUGAACAGGGCAACGUACAGAGUUCCAAGCAAUCAAAUGAAGACGAUGAAGAAGAAGAGUUUGAUGACAAUGACGGCCAAUCAGACAAAGACAAUGAAGAUGACAGUGUCGGGGGCGAGGAAACUGAAACUGACGAUGAAGCUUCCAAGGCUCGACCUGGAAAGAGCGCCGGCAAGACACAACAUUCGGGGACAGUUAGGAGAAGCUCAAGACUGAACAAUACAUAAACGCUCGAAGGGGUUGAGCUCCACGACAAGGAGACGCUGGAGAUCGUCUGCACUAGCGAACCAGACAAGGCCGACGAGGUGAUCUCCAGGAUGUGGAUGAAGCUUGGCGGCAGGUUUCGUAGGAUCGUCGGCGUUGGUGUGCACUACACCAACGAAGAUGAACCUCCCCAGAUGGCGGCAGUCCUGCAGUUGUGCGUCGACGAAAUCUGCUUGGUGUACCACAUCGCCGCGGCCACAAAAUGGCCCAAGCGCCUGUCCGACAUGCUGCAGCAUGACAAGUUGUUCACGUUUGCCGGUUUCAGCAUUGAAACCGACAAAGAGAAGCUGAAGUUGUCCGGUAUGGAGAUCAACCCCAACAAGUUCAUCGACAUUCAGCGCAAGUGGAGAGUUCCAUACACCGGAAAAGAGUACGACUCCUUGACUGAUGUUGCAGCCAGCGUCAUCCACCCAUUCUACAAAGGCAUGAAGAACAAGAUCAACACUACACUUGAUCGGACAUUGCAUACUUACUACAAUAAAAAGUACAAAGAAGCAUCAGUCCCCUCUCUCUACAAAGCCCAUAGUCGCCGGAGGAAGGCCAUGGCGGAGGAACCGUUCGCCAAGCGUCAUCAUGCUGAGACGUCGGACAAGAGGAGCAACCUCGUCGACAUUAACGUCCCCGGCGAGAAGCGCAACUACACCAGAACGCUCGAAGGGGUUGAGCUCCACGGCAAGGAGACGCUGCAGAUCGUCUGCACCAGCGAACCAGACAAGGCCGAUGAGAUGAUGAGCAGGCUCAGGAUGAAGGGAGGCGGCUUGUAUCCGAGCUUCAUCGGAGUUGAUGUGGAGUACACCGACGAGGAAAAACCUCCACAGAUGGCAGCAGUCCUGCAGUUGUGCAUCGAGGAACUCUGCUUGGUGUACCACAUCGCAACGGCCACACAAUGGCCCAAGCGCCUCAAAGACUUCCUACAGGAGGAGAAAUUGUACACAUUUGUCAGUUUCAGCAUUGGAGGUGACAAGUGGAAGCUGGAGAAGUCUGGUUUGGAAAUCAACCCCAACAACUUCAUCGACAUGCAGCGCAAGUGGAAAGAUCCAAAGACCAACAAAUACUACGACUCCUUGGCCGAUGUUGCAGGCGGCGUCAUCCCCCCAUUCUACGAAGGCAUGAAGAAGAAGAUGAACAGGGAAGACCACAAACUAUGGGGGAAUAGCCCGCUGCCAGACAACCUCAUCACGUACGCAGGAAUAGAUGCAUACUCAACGUACAAGUCAUGGAAGACAAUCGACAACAUCGUGACAGGUUGGGAUAUUUCAAAAGAGCAGGAGGCUGACCCCUACUACCACUGCAACUUCACGGAUGAAGAUGCAUGA